RNAcentral lists this ribosomal RNA (585 nucleotides) under Bacillus cereus. Its description in RNAcentral is "bacterial SSU rRNA". It matches the Rfam family "Bacterial small subunit ribosomal RNA", at positions 173 to 747 of the family's 1533-position model. Lineage: Bacteria; Bacillati; Bacillota; Bacilli; Caryophanales; Bacillaceae. The record is from RNAcentral.
CAUUUUGAACUGCAUGGUUCGAAAUUGAAAGGCGGCUUCGGCUGUCACUUAUGGAUGGACCCGCGUCGCAUUAGCUAGUUGGUGAGGUAACGGCUCACCAAGGCAACGAUGCGUAGCCGACCUGAGAGGGUGAUCGGCCACACUGGGACUGAGACACGGCCCAGACUCCUACGGGAGGCAGCAGUAGGGAAUCUUCCGCAAUGGACGAAAGUCUGACGGAGCAACGCCGCGUGAGUGAUGAAGGCUUUCGGGUCGUAAAACUCUGUUGUUAGGGAAGAACAAGUGCUAGUUGAAUAAGCUGGCACCUUGACGGUACCUAACCAGAAAGCCACGGCUAACUACGUGCCAGCAGCCGCGGUAAUACGUAGGUGGCAAGCGUUAUCCGGAAUUAUUGGGCGUAAAGCGCGCGCAGGUGGUUUCUUAAGUCUGAUGUGAAAGCCCACGGCUCAACCGUGGAGGGUCAUUGGAAACUGGGAGACUUGAGUGCAGAAGAGGAAAGUGGAAUUCCAUGUGUAGCGGUGAAAUGCGUAGAGAUAUGGAGGAACACCAGUGGCGAAGGCGACUUUCUGGUCUGUAACUGACACU